UACGUAGGGUGCGAGCGUUGUCCGGAAUUAUUGGGCGUAAAGAGCUCGUAGGCGGUCUGUCGCGUCGGUCGUGAAAACUUGGGGCUUAACCCUGAGCUUGCGGUCGAUACGGGCAUGACUGGAGUUCGGCAGGGGAGACUGGAAUUCCUGGUGUAGCGGUGAAAUGCGCAGAUAUCAGGAGGAACACCGGUGGCGAAGGCGGGUCUCUGGGCCGACACUGACGCUGAUGCGCGAAAGCCAGGGGAGCGAACGGG
Molecule: ribosomal RNA, 254 nt
Filed under: uncultured bacterium
Lineage: Bacteria
Description: partial 16S ribosomal RNA
Rfam family: Bacterial small subunit ribosomal RNA
Source: RNAcentral